AAUAAAUAAAUUUCUGAGUUUUUAUUAAACUUUUGACUUUUCGUCUUAUUUGAAAUUUUUUAUGAUUAAUAUUUUUAUUGUUAUUACAUGAUAAAACAUGAAUAGUACUUUGCAUGCGACUAAUUUUUUUUAAUUUUUUAAUAAAAUUUUCAAAUAAGACAGAUGGUCAAACGCUCCAUAGAUAAAACUCAGA
This 193-nucleotide microRNA precursor is filed under the name Oryza brachyantha (malo sina). RNAcentral describes it as "MIR812 microRNA precursor family". It matches the Rfam family "MIR812 microRNA precursor family". Lineage: Eukaryota; Viridiplantae; Streptophyta; Magnoliopsida; Poales; Poaceae. The record is from Rfam by way of RNAcentral.